This 492-nucleotide ribosomal RNA is filed under the name uncultured bacterium. RNAcentral describes it as "partial 16S ribosomal RNA". It matches the Rfam family "Bacterial small subunit ribosomal RNA", at positions 29 to 507 of the family's 1533-position model. The record is from RNAcentral.
AGUGAACGCUGGCGGUAGGCCUAACACAUGCAAGUCGAACGGCAGCACAGUAAGCGCUUGCUCUUACGGGUGGCGAGUGGCGGACGGGUGAGGAAUACAUCGGCAUCUACUUUUUCGUGGGGGAUAACGUAGGGAAACUUACGAUAAUACCGCAUACGACGUACGGGUGAAAGCAGGGGAUCUUCGGACCUUGCGCGAUUGAAUGAGCCGAUGUCGGAUUAGCUAGUUGGCGGGGUAAAGGCCCACCAAGGCGACGAUCCGUAGCUGGUCUGAGAGGAUGAUCAGCCACACUGGAACUGAGACACGGUCCAGACUCCUACGGGAGGCAGCAGUAGGGAAUAUUGGACAAUGGGCGAAAGCCUGAUCCAGCCAUGCCGCGUGGGUGAUGAAGGCCUUCGGAUUGUAAAGCUCUGUUGUUAGGGAAGAAAAGCAGUAUGUGAAUACCCCGCUGUUCUGACGGUACCCAAAGAAUAAGCACCGGCUAACUUCGUG